Molecule: ribosomal RNA, 1445 nt
Filed under: metagenome
Description: bacterial SSU rRNA
Rfam family: Bacterial small subunit ribosomal RNA
Source: RNAcentral
GAGUUUGAUCCUGGCUCAGAGCGAACGCUGGCGGCAGGCUUAACACAUGCAAGUCGAACGGGCGUAGCAAUACGUCAGUGGCAGACGGGUGAGUAACGCGUGGGAACGUACCUUUUGGUUCGGAACAACUGAGGGAAACUUCAGCUAAUACCGGAUAAGCCCUUACGGGGAAAGAUUUAUCGCCGAAAGAUCGGCCCGCGUCUGAUUAGCUAGUUGGUGAGGUAAGAGCUCACCAAGGCGACGAUCAGUAGCUGGUCUGAGAGGAUGACCAGCCACAUUGGGACUGAGACACGGCCCAAACUCCUACGGGAGGCAGCAGUGGGGAAUAUUGGACAAUGGGCGCAAGCCUGAUCCAGCCAUGCCGCGUGAGUGAUGAAGGCCCUAGGGUUGUAAAGCUCUUUUGUGCGGGAAGAUAAUGACGGUACCGCAAGAAUAAGCCCCGGCUAACUUCGUGCCAGCAGCCGCGGUAAUACGAAGGGGGCUAGCGUUGCUCGGAGUCACUGGGCGUAAAGGGUGCGUAGGCGGGUCUUUAAGUCAGGGGUGAAAUCCUGGAGCUCAACUCCAGAACUGCCUUUGAUACUGAGGAUCUUGAGUUCGGGAGAGGUGAGUGGAACUGCGAGUGUAGAGGUGAAAUUCGUAGAUAUUCGCAAGAACACCAGUGGCGAAGGCGGCUCACUGGCCCGAUACUGACGCUGAGGCACGAAAGCGUGGGGAGCAAACAGGAUUAGAUGCCCUGGUAGUCCACGCCGUAAACGAUGAAUGCCAGCCGUUGGGGAGUUUACUCUUCAGUGGCGCAGCUAACGCUUUAAGCAUUCCGCCUGGGGAGUACGGUCGCAAGAUUAAAACUCAAAGGAAUUGACGGGGGCCCGCACAAGCGGUGGAGCAUGUGGUUUAAUUCGACGCAACGCGCAGAACCUUACCAGCCCUUGACAUGUCUAUGACCGGUACCAGAGAUGGAACCUUCCCUUCGGGGCAUAGAGCACAGGUGCUGCAUGGCUGUCGUCAGCUCGUGUCGUGAGAUGUUGGGUUAAGUCCCGCAACGAGCGCAACCCCCGUCCUUAGUUGCUACCAUUUAGUUGAGCACUCUAAGGAGACUGCCGGUGAUAAGCCGCGAGGAAGGUGGGGAUGACGUCAAGUCCUCAUGGCCCUUACGGGCUGGGCUACACACGUGCUACAAUGGCGGUGACAAUGGGACGCUAAGGGGCAAUCCUUCGCAAAUCUCAAAAAGCCGUCUCAGUUCGGAUUGGGCUCUGCAACUCGAGCCCAUGAAGUUGGAAUCGCUAGUAAUCGUGGAUCAGCAUGCCACGGUGAAUACGUUCCCGGGCCUUGUACACACCGCCCGUCACACCAUGGGAGUUGGUUUUACCUGAAGGUAGUGCGCUAACCCGCAAGGGGGGCAGCUAACCACGGUAGGGUCAGCGACUGGGGUGAAGUCGUAACAAGGU